CCCUUAGAUGUUCUGGGCCGCACGCGCGCUACACUGAUUCAUGCACUAAGUAUAUAACCUUGGUAGAAAUGCUUGGGUAAUCUUUGAAACUGAAUCGUGCUGGGGAUUGGAGCUUGUAAUUAUUCUCCAUGAACGAGGAAUUCCUAGUAAACGCGAGUCAUCAGCUCGCAUUGAUUACGUCCCUGCCCUUUGUACACACCGCCCGUCGCUCCUACCGAUUGAGUGGUCCGGUGAGGCUUUGGGAUCUGAGCGGAAAGAGCGUUUCGCUGUUUCUGCUCGGAAAACUCAGUCGAACCUUAUCAUUUAGAGGAAGGAGAAGUCGUAACA
This 327-nucleotide ribosomal RNA is filed under the name uncultured eukaryote. Its description in RNAcentral is "partial 18S ribosomal RNA". It matches the Rfam family "Eukaryotic small subunit ribosomal RNA", at positions 1470 to 1796 of the family's 1831-position model. The record is from RNAcentral.